Trichinella nativa is the source of this 46-nucleotide non-coding RNA. The record is from Rfam. Lineage: Eukaryota; Metazoa; Nematoda; Enoplea; Trichinellida; Trichinellidae.
CCAACGGCCCUUUUCAGGGCCCAAAUUAUUAUACUGCCGUUUUAUU